CACGUAGUUAGCCGUGGCUUAUUCGACAGGUACCGUCCUCUGCUCUUCCCUGUCAAAAGAAGUUUACAACCCGAAAGCCUUCUUCCUUCACGCGGCGUUGCUGGGUCAGGCUUGCGCCCAUUGCCCAAUAUUCCCCACUGCUGCCUCCCGUAGGAGUCUGGGCCGUAUCUCAGUCCCAAUGUGGCCGGCCAACCUCUCAGUCCGGCUACUGAUCGUCGCCUUGGUAGGCCGUUACCCUACCAACUAGCUAAUCAGACGCGAGGCCAUCUCUCAGCGAUAAAUCUUUGGUAUCAAUGCCAUGCGACACAAAUACGUUAUGCGGUAUUAGCAGUCGUUUCCAACUGUUGUCCCCCACUGAAAGGCAGGUUCCUCACGCGUUACUCACCCGUCCGCCACUAAGCAGUCCUCUCCAUUGACCGAAAUCUCUUUCGAGGGUACUCCGUUCGACUUGCAUGUGUUAAGCACGCCGCCAGCGUUCGUCCUGAGCCAGGAUCAAACUCU
RNAcentral lists this ribosomal RNA (501 nucleotides) under uncultured Oscillibacter sp. RNAcentral's name for it is "partial 16S ribosomal RNA". Lineage: Bacteria; Bacillati; Bacillota; Clostridia; Eubacteriales; Oscillospiraceae. The record is from RNAcentral.